Molecule: ribosomal RNA, 172 nt
Filed under: uncultured Gammaproteobacteria bacterium
Lineage: Bacteria; Pseudomonadati; Pseudomonadota; Gammaproteobacteria
Description: partial 16S ribosomal RNA
Rfam family: Bacterial small subunit ribosomal RNA
Source: RNAcentral
UGGGGAAUAUUGGACAAUGNGCGCAAGCCUGAUCCAGCCAUACCGCGUGGGUGAAGAAGGGCUUCGGGUUGUAAAGCCCUUUUGUUGGGAAAGAAAUCCAGCUGGCUAAUACCCGGUUGGGAUGACGGUACCCAAAGAAUAAGCACCGGCUAACUCGUGCCAACAGCCGCGG